CCUAACCCCCUACUCCGGCUGGCGAUUUCUUUAACACAAUUGUGUUACACAUUCUAAAUUUUUCUUAGAUUUUGCAUUGAUUGUUCAUGUUUGCCUUGUGAAAUCUGAAGAAGUUUUGUCUCUAGAUUCCGUUUAAUCCUUUAAAUUUGUACUUCUUCAUCAACCGGAAUCAUUUAACCGGCGGCGACACCUCACAUGGCUGCGACCUGGAUAUGGUCGAUUGGGAAAGAGUUUGGGGCUGAGUAACUUGAAGAGUUUGUUACCCUCUUUUCAUUGUAUUUCAAUGUAGCUCGCUGCAUUCCUU
This 304-nucleotide long non-coding RNA is filed under the name Nicotiana benthamiana. RNAcentral's name for it is "long non-coding RNA (NBEN_LNC039184)". The record is from RNAcentral. Lineage: Eukaryota; Viridiplantae; Streptophyta; Magnoliopsida; Solanales; Solanaceae.